ACGGAGGGUGCAAGCGUUAAUCGGAAUAACUGGGCGUAAAGCGCACGCAGGCGGUUAGAUAAGUCAGAUGUGAAAUCCCCGGGCUCAACCUGGGAACUGCAUUUGAAACUGUCUGACUAGAGUCUUGUAGAGGGGGGUAGAAUUCCAGGUGUAGCGGUGAAAUGCGUAGAGAUCUGGAGGAAUACCGGUGGCGAAGGCGGCCCCCUGGACAAAGACUGACGCUCAGGUGCGAAAGCGUGGGGAGCAAACAGGAUUAGAUACCCUGGUAGUCCACGCUGUAAACGAUGUCGAUUUGGAGUUUGUGCCAUUAUGAGCGUGGGUUCCGAAGCUAACGCGAUAAAUCGACCGCCUGGGGAGUACGGCCGCAAGGUUA
This 373-nucleotide ribosomal RNA is filed under the name uncultured bacterium. RNAcentral's name for it is "bacterial SSU rRNA". It matches the Rfam family "Bacterial small subunit ribosomal RNA", at positions 525 to 896 of the family's 1533-position model. The record is from RNAcentral.